GUCGAUGCAGAUUUACUGAAGUGUAAGAGGCAGUCUUCUCUUUCCUUGAUGGUUUCUGUCAUCAAUGCUUUAUUCACCAGAUCUGCCCAGUCUUUAGCCCCCAUAUUGAUACUGUCUAAGCUCAGCCAGCAUGGGUACAGAGAGCUGACCAGCAGGUAGAGUAAAAAUACCUUUGCAGUCAUGCAAGCAAAUCCACCCUUUCCCAUUAACCAUUAAGAAGCUAUCUUGGACUUUGGAUUUUUGUUAGCUAUUAACUCACAUACCUCAAAUGAGCUAUAAUAAAAGCAUUACUGUGAAA
This 298-nucleotide long non-coding RNA is filed under the name Rattus norvegicus (Norway rat). RNAcentral's name for it is "long non-coding RNA NONRATT001162". The record is from RNAcentral. Lineage: Eukaryota; Metazoa; Chordata; Mammalia; Rodentia; Muridae.